Molecule: unclassified non-coding RNA, 561 nt
Filed under: Athalia rosae (coleseed sawfly)
Lineage: Eukaryota; Metazoa; Arthropoda; Insecta; Hymenoptera; Athaliidae
Description: misc RNA ENSAEAG00005011729.1
Source: RNAcentral
UUGGUGCAUGCAGCGGUUAGAAGAUAAUCGCAGCGAUCGUUUAGCGGGUUAAAAUAUUAAUCCUUGAAUAUAAUCGAUCAGUAAUAAGGUAGCUGCGAUUCGUGAUGUUCGUGGCGGGGAUGUACAGGCUGCUGAUGAAUACCGUGAAGACGAUUAUGAUUGUGCAUAGGUUGAUGGAGAUUGUGAUGCGGCGAUUGAUGACCUCUAGAAAAUUGACCCCCGGGAGACGAAGAUGUCGAAGAUGAUCCCGAGGUGCUGCAAUUGUUUGUCGUCAACAUCGGCGUGCCACCACCUUGAAUCGCGAAUGGCCAGGACUGCGAAUGAAAAGAAUUCUGGUACAAAUAUUCGGGUAAACGAGACGGGCUGUAUUAUUAGAAACGGAGUAAUGGAAGAUGAAAAAGAAAUCGUAAUGUACGUAUAACGGAACUGGAUGCAUAGCGUGUCUUUUCAAAACUUCUACGAUGCUGAAAACUAAUGCGGGAUAUAGUCCAACAACGGAACUAUAUCGGAGUUAAUGGGGCGAGGGAGAGACCGCGACGGUGUGAUCCGGUCCACCUGGAC